AGCGCAUACGGUGGAUGCCUUGGCAGUCAGAGGCGAUGAAAGACGUGGUAGCCUGCGAUAAGCUUCGGGGAGUCGGCAAACAGACUUUGAUCCGGAGAUCUCUGAAUGGGGGAACCCACCUGGCAUAAGUCAGGUAUCUUGUACUGAAUACAUAGGUGCAAGAGGCGAACCAGGGGAACUGAAACAUCUAAGUACCCUGAGGAAAAGAAAUCAACCGAGAUUCCCUUAGUAGUGGCGAGCGAACGGGGACUAGCCCUUAAGUGGCUUUGAGAUUAGCGGAACGCUCUGGAAAGUGCGGCCAUAGUGGGUGAUAGCCCUGUACGCGAAAAUCUCUUAGUCAUGAAAUCGAGUAGGACGGAGCACGAGAAACUUUGUCUGAAUAUGGGGGGACCAUCCUCCAAGGCUAAAUACUACUGACUGACCGAUAGUGAACCAGUACCGUGAGGGAAAGGCGAAAAGAACCCCGGAGAGGGGAGUGAAAUAGAUCCUGAAACCGUAUGCGUACAAGCAGUGGGAGCCUACUUUGUUAGGUGACUGCGUACCUUUUGUAUAAUGGGUCAGCGACUUAUAUUCAGUGGCGAGCUUAACCGAAUAGGGGAGGCGUAGCGAAAGCGAGUCUUAAUAGGGCGUUUAGUCGCUGGGUAUAGACCCGAAACCGGGCGAUCUAUCCAUGGGCAGGUUGAAGGUUAGGUAACACUGACUGGAGGACCGAACCGACUACCGUUGAAAAGUUAGCGGAUGACCUGUGGAUCGGAGUGAAAGGCUAAUCAAGCUCGGAGAUAGCUGGUUCUCCUCGAAAGCUAUUUAGGUAGCGCCUCAUGUAUCACUGUAGGGGGUAGAGCACUGUUUCGGCUAGGGGGUCAUCCCGACUUACCAAACCGAUGCAAACUCCGAAUACCUACAAGUGCCGAGCAUGGGAGACACACGGCGGGUGCUAACGUCCGUCGUGAAAAGGGAAACAACCCAGACCGUCAGCUAAGGUCCCAAAGUUAUGGUUAAGUGGGAAACGAUGUGGGAAGGCUUAGACAGCUAGGAGGUUGGCUUAGAAGCAGCCACCCUUUAAAGAAAGCGUAAUAGCUCACUAGUCGAGUCGGCCUGCGCGGAAGAUGUAACGGGGCUCAAACCAUACACCGAAGCUACGGGUAUCACUUAGGUGAUGCGGUAGAGGAGCGUUCUGUAAGCCUGUGAAGGUGAGUUGAGAAGCUUGCUGGAGGUAUCAGAAGUGCGAAUGCUGACAUGAGUAACGACAAUGGGAGUGAAAAACUCCCACGCCGAAAGACCAAGGUUUCCUGCGCAACGUUAAUCGACGCAGGGUUAGUCGGUCCCUAAGGCGAGGCUGAAAAGCGUAGUCGAUGGAAAACAGGUUAAUAUUCCUGUACUUCUGGUUAUUGCGAUGGAGGGACGGAGAAGGCUAGGCCAGCUUGGCGUUGGUUGUCCAAGUUUAAGGUGGUAGGCUGAGAUCUUAGGUAAAUCCGGGAUCUUAAGGCCGAGAGCUGAUGACGAGUUGCCAUUAGGCGACGAAGUGGUUGAUGCCAUGCUUCCAAGAAAAGCUUCUAAGCUUCAGGUAACCAGGAACCGUACCCCAAACCGACACAGGUGGUUGGGUAGAGAAUACCAAGGCGCUUGAGAGAACUCGGGUGAAGGAACUAGGCAAAAUGGCACCGUAACUUCGGGAGAAGGUGCGCCGGUGAGGGUGAAGGACUUGCUCCGUAAGCUCAUGCCGGUCGAAGAUACCAGGCCGCUGCGACUGUUUAUUAAAAACACAGCACUCUGCAAACACGAAAGUGGACGUAUAGGGUGUGACGCCUGCCCGGUGCCGGAAGGUUAAUUGAUGGGGUUAGCUAACGCGAAGCUCUUGAUCGAAGCCCCGGUAAACGGCGGCCGUAACUAUAACGGUCCUAAGGUAGCGAAAUUCCUUGUCGGGUAAGUUCCGACCUGCACGAAUGGCGUAACGAUGGCGGCGCUGUCUCCACCCGAGACUCAGUGAAAUUGAAAUCGCUGUGAAGAUGCAGUGUAUCCGCGGCUAGACGGAAAGACCCCGUGAACCUUUACUAUAGCUUUGCACUGGACUUUGAAUUUGCUUGUGUAGGAUAGGUGGGAGGCUUUGAAGCGUGGACGCCAGUCUGCGUGGAGCCAUCCUUGAAAUACCACCCUGGCAACUUUGAGGUUCUAACUCAGGUCCGUUAUCCGGAUCGAGGACAGUGUAUGGUGGGUAGUUUGACUGGGGCGGUCUCCUCCUAAAGAGUAACGGAGGAGUACGAAGGUGCGCUCAGACCGGUCGGAAAUCGGUCGUAGAGUAUAAAGGCAAAAGCGCGCUUGACUGCGAGACAGACACGUCGAGCAGGUACGAAAGUAGGUCUUAGUGAUCCGGUGGUUCUGUAUGGAAGGGCCAUCGCUCAACGGAUAAAAGGUACUCCGGGGAUAACAGGCUGAUACCGCCCAAGAGUUCAUAUCGACGGCGGUGUUUGGCACCUCGAUGUCGGCUCAUCACAUCCUGGGGCUGAAGCCGGUCCCAAGGGUAUGGCUGUUCGCCAUUUAAAGUGGUACGCGAGCUGGGUUUAGAACGUCGUGAGACAGUUCGGUCCCUAUCUGCCGUGGACGUUUGAGAUUUGAGAGGGGCUGCUCCUAGUACGAGAGGACCGGAGUGGACGAACCUCUGGUGUUCCGGUUGUCACGCCAGUGGCAUUGCCGGGUAGCUAUGUUCGGAAGAGAUAACCGCUGAAAGCAUCUAAGCGGGAAACUUGCCUCAAGAUGAGAUCUCACUGGAGCCUUGAGCUCCCUGAAGGGCCGUCGAAGACUACGACGUUGAUAGGUUGGGUGUGUAAGCGCUGUGAGGCGUUGAGCUAACCAAUACUAAUUGCCCGUGAGGCUUGACC
RNAcentral lists this ribosomal RNA (2876 nucleotides) under Pseudomonas qingdaonensis. Its description in RNAcentral is "bacterial LSU rRNA". It matches the Rfam family "Bacterial large subunit ribosomal RNA". Lineage: Bacteria; Pseudomonadati; Pseudomonadota; Gammaproteobacteria; Pseudomonadales; Pseudomonadaceae. The record is from RNAcentral.